GACAGCAAGCUGGCUGUGACAUGUCAACCCCACUGAUUGCCAGAAUUGAUUUGCUGGAUCUGCCCUGUUAAGAUGGUGUCCCAUUUCUUCCUGGCUCUGCCACAUGUGUUUUUCCAAAAUCUGGACACUUUACUGGAGAGGAUGAUUUUUCUAGAUAGAGAAAGACCACGGUCUACAGA
Molecule: small nuclear RNA, 179 nt
Filed under: Nomascus leucogenys (northern white-cheeked gibbon)
Lineage: Eukaryota; Metazoa; Chordata; Mammalia; Primates; Hylobatidae
Description: 7SK RNA
Rfam family: 7SK RNA
About the family: 7SK was discovered as an abundant small nuclear RNA in the mid-70s but a possible function has only recently been suggested.
Source: Rfam by way of RNAcentral